CCUACGGGAGGCAGCGGUAAGGAAUAUUGGUCAAUGGACGAAAGUCUGAACCAGCCAUGCCGCGUGAAGGAUGACGGCCCUCUGGGUUGUAAACUUCUUUUAUAUGGGACGAAAAAAGGGAAUUCUUUCUCACUUGACGGUACCAUAGGAAUAAGCACCGGCUAACUCCGUGCCAGCAGCCGCGGUAAUACGGAGGGUGCAAGCGUUAUCCGGAUUCACUGGGUUUAAAGGGUGCGUAGGUGGGUAGGUAAGUCAGUGGUGAAAUCUCCGAGCUUAACUCGGAAACUGCCAUUGAUACUAUUUAUCUUGAAUUUUUUGGAGGUGAGCGGAAUAUGUCAUGUAGCGGUGAAAUGCUUAGAUAUGACAUAGAACACCAAUUGCGAAGGCAGUUCACUACGAAAUUAUUGACACUGAGGCACGAAAGCGUGGGGAUCAAACAGGAUUAGAUACCCUGGUAGUCCACGCCCUAAACGAUGGAUACUCGACAUCAGCGAUACACUGUUGGUGUCUGAGCGAAAGCAUUAAGUAUCCCACCUGGGAAGUACGACCGCAAGGUUGAAACUCAAAGGAAUUGACGG
This 578-nucleotide ribosomal RNA is filed under the name uncultured bacterium. Its description in RNAcentral is "bacterial SSU rRNA". It matches the Rfam family "Bacterial small subunit ribosomal RNA", at positions 338 to 916 of the family's 1533-position model. The record is from RNAcentral.